GACGAACGCUGGCGGCGUGCUUAACACAUGCAAGUCGAACGGAAAGGCCCUGCUUUUGUGGGGUGCUCGAGUGGCGAACGGGUGAGUAACACGUGAGUAACCUGCCCUUGACUUUGGGAUAACUUCAGGAAACUGGGGUAAUAACGGCUAGGAACUCCUGCUGCCUGGUGGGGGUUGGAAAGUUUCGGCGGUUGGGGAUGGACUCGCGGCUUAUCAGCUUGUUGGUGGGGUAGUGGCUUACCAAGGCUUUGACGGGUAGCCGGCCUGAGAGGGUGACCGGCCACAUUGGGACUGAGAUACGGCCCAGACUCCUACGGGAGGCAGCAGUGGGGAAUAUUGCACAUUGGGCGGAAGCCUGAUGCAGCAACGCCGCGUGCGGGAUGACGGCCUUCGGGUUGUAAACCGCUUUCGCCUGUGACGAAGCGUGAGUGACGGUAAUGGGUAAAGAAGCACCGGCUAACUACGUG
Molecule: ribosomal RNA, 467 nt
Filed under: uncultured bacterium
Lineage: Bacteria
Description: partial 16S ribosomal RNA
Rfam family: Bacterial small subunit ribosomal RNA
Source: RNAcentral